Chiloscyllium plagiosum (whitespotted bambooshark) is the source of this 982-nucleotide non-coding RNA. The record is from RefSeq and is a predicted model, not a curated record. Lineage: Eukaryota; Metazoa; Chordata; Chondrichthyes; Orectolobiformes; Hemiscylliidae.
GAAUGUUAUUUAGAUAACCCAGAGUUUUGGUCAAUUGCUUUCAAGGUCAUAAAGAGGUUUAGAAUUCAGGAGUUUUACUUAUUUACUACUGUGCACAGUCAAAAGAAUAAAUAGAUUAAGAGUUCAAGUUAGCCCAAUGCAAAACAUAAUCACUUGACUGCUGUGACACUGCCUCGUUCCUUGGAGAAACCAACUUCAGAGACAUUGUUCAGCCUUCAUUCAAGUAUCUAACGUUCCUACUCUCUGAUGGCCAAGUAAUGCACUGGCAAUGACCUGGAGACAAAUACCGAUACUUUUGCAUCAUCUGAGAAACACUUAUGCAAGAAAGAGUCAAGUGAACUGAAGAGUGAGGUUCCGAAGGCAAAUGACAUUCUCCAGCAUCUCACUCAAAUGACCAUGAACGUGUUGCAGAGGGGUAUCAAAACAAGGCUAAUCUGAUCUUCAAACAUUUGCGAUAACUGGUGUUACACUCAAGGACCUUGAUCCAAAAGCAGCAAGAGAUGGAGAGAGAAAUAAAGAGCAAAGGGAGGGCCAAGCUAAUGUAUCAUGCCUCCUCACAGUGAAGUAAUCCACUGGAAUGUUCCAUCAAGAAUUAUACAUGAAUGAUAAGAAUUGUUACAACAUGAGGCAACCAACUACCCGAUCUACCCCCAGCAGCUGGAGCACAAGUUACGUUGUAUCUUUUUUCAGAACACAUGGUGCAGUCAGGUAGUUUUUGCUAGAUUUUAACUCUCUUAAAAGGUCCAGUAUACUCACAUCUUCAUAACAGCAUUAAGAGAACACAUGAAAUCAUAUUCCAGAAAAGACGAUGCAUUUUGAUAAGAGACAAUAACUGAAACAAAGUGUUGGAAAUAAAUAAUGCUGUGAAUAUAAAAUGACCCCAUCACAAUUUUAAAUUUACUUUAACACUGCCAAGUAUUUAUGAAAUCAAGCUACACUAUGCUGAUUCAUUUGAAGAUUGAAAUAAAUUUUACUGCUGUUC